GUGUUUGGGUGUCAAACCCAUACGCGUAAUGAAAGUGAACGGAGGUGAGAACCCUUAAGGGUGCAUCAUCGACCGAUCCUGAAGUCUUCGGAUGGAUUUGAGUAAGAGCAUAGCUGUUGGGACCCGAAAGAUGGUGAACUAUGCGUGAAUAGGGUGAAGCCAGAGGAAACUCUGGUGGAGGCUCGCAGCGGUUCUGACGUGCAAAUCGAUCGUCAAAUUUGCGCAUAGGGGCGAAAGACUAAUCGAACCAUCUAGUAGCUGGUUCCUGCCGAAGUUUCCCUCAGGAUAGCAGAGACUCGCAUCAGUUUUAUGUGGUAAAGCGAAUGAUUAGAGGCAUGGGGGUUGAAACAACCUUCACCUAUUCUCAAACUUUAAAUAUGUAAGAAGCCCUUGUUACUUGAUUGAACGAGGGCAUGCGAAUGAGAGUCUUUAGUGGGCCAUUUUUGGUAAGCAGAACUGGCGAUGCGGGAUGAACCGAUCGCGAGGUUAAGGUGCCGGAAUACACGCUCAUCAGACACCACAAAAGGUGUUAGUUCAUCUG
RNAcentral lists this ribosomal RNA (541 nucleotides) under uncultured Ascomycota. RNAcentral describes it as "LSU rRNA". It matches the Rfam family "Eukaryotic large subunit ribosomal RNA", at positions 690 to 1235 of the family's 3401-position model. Lineage: Eukaryota; Fungi; Ascomycota. The record is from RNAcentral.